This is a long non-coding RNA of Tripterygium wilfordii, 2010 nucleotides long. RefSeq lists it as uncharacterized. NCBI's taxonomy places the organism in Eukaryota, Viridiplantae, Streptophyta, Magnoliopsida, Celastrales, Celastraceae. The record is from RefSeq and is a predicted model, not a curated record. The transcript is spliced from 3 exons.
AUGAGUCUAACUGCAAGAAUAAUUUUCUAUGGUUUUUAAAAAAAAAAAAUAGUUGCAAUGAGUCUCUCAAAACCAGAAUGAGAUUCAGGCCCAAAAGAGACCCUCCUUCCAUAUGGUAAAACUGCAAAUUGAGUGUGGUCUGCAUGUCUGAAGUACUCCAUCUUCUUAUCUUUAAUAGAAUGCUUUGAAACAAUAAGCAAACUGGUACUUUUUCUUCUCCUGCUAUGUUGCGUCUUUUUCUGCUCUCUUCAAAACACAAGUUUUGGUCCACUCACAGAUUUUGCCACACUGACCAUAUUUGGCUCGAAAAAGACGACCCAGGUUUGGCAGUCAAACACCAAUGGUAUGUGGGCCUGGAUAUUGAAGGUCAGGCUCAUGGGUCCAUGGAAACAGUACCCUUUGUCUCUUCUUGAGGAGACAGUCUUUCCUUUUUAUCCAAAGCUUCAAGAAUAUUUUUGAUUGGCCUGGGUUAGUGUAAAAGGCCAAGCUUCUCAGCCUCUCGGGGAUGUGUUGUGGGUUCUAUCUUAUUGCACUUAAUGUGUUUGAUUAUAUGCUUGAAAGAUUCAGCCUUUUGAAUUCAACAUUUCCAUCGCUAUCAAGUGUGUGAUCCAAAGUGUUCGUGCAGAGAUUUUAUGGAUGAAAUGAUCUAAAGUACAUGGAAUAACCAGAAGAAAAAAAGAAAGACUUGCUAUAUCUUUGGUAUCAUCCAGUGACUUUUCAGAAUAUCUCUGUUUUCAGAAACAGAGUUUUACAUAUCUUCUCUGUUUCCCAAGCAGAGGUAGUUGUGUUUUUAUUACCUGCAAACCAUUUUCAAAGCAAUGGAACAUGAAGACCGUAAGUCUCCAAAGAGGCCAGAAAUUAGAGUUCCUCCUCGGAGGGGUCAAAUUAAGGCCAGGAUUUUCAGAGAGUUGGCAAACAAGGUGAAGAAUGCAGCAUCAGUGGCUGGACUGGUAAAGAAGAAGGGAGGUUCCAAUGAAAUCUCAACCUCAACAACCCCUCCUUGUAGCAAUGACACUUCUCAUGGGCAUUCAGAGUAAUGACUCAUGACCCAGAUGAGAUAAACACAGACCCAAUAAAAGAUUUUAGCUUGACUUAAUUUAUUCACAGAUAUACUUCUUUGUGUCCAUCCAGUUGCUUUGCUUACUUCUUAGACUCAGUCAAGCAGGGAAAGCAGUACUUGACAUAUAAUUCUUCUGGAUUACUGUUGUUGUGUUCUUCUGUCAAAAGGUGGAAAUUUGAGGGUUGCAAGAUAGGAUGGUGAGACUGAGAAGAUGGUCAGAUUCUUCUUUAUAUGCAAUUGAAGGCAAAGAGGGUAUUGUGCUGGUUAUAGAUGGUGUUUUAGCUACAUAUGGGUCAGGAGUUUCUGUCUUGAGCCAUUGAAUUCUGGGUCUUGCAGCUGGGCUUCAAGCUGCUUCUUUUUUUUUUUUUUUUUUGUGUGUCUUUUUGGCUAAAGUAUACAUGUACUGUUGUCAGUUUCCAUUUCUUGUCCAUUUUUCACAUAUGGACAUGUUAGUGGGGUUAGGGUGAAACUUCUGAUUCUUGCCUUACAUGUUGUCUUGUAGUGGAUAAUCCAAUAAAAUUUUGCUUUUUUCAUUUCAAAUCUUCCUGUAUUUGAGUUCCAUGUGAUUUUCUUAGUUUCUUUAAGCUUGAUGGUUCAUGCCUAGUUUUUUUAAGCUUGAUGGUUCAUGCCAACAACUAAGAAUAGUUUAUAGGUUACCAAACUCUUCACUGGACAUAAACUCAGAGUCUUGGUAUAUUGUAGGCACACCAUCCCACAGAUCUUUCUUUCUACUGGCUAAGUGACAGAAUUAUUAAAAGAAAAGCCUAAAAAGACUAAUUAAUGUGGGUUGUGUUGAACUCUUGAAAAAGGUCUACUUGUUCAAAGCAACAGCAUACAGAUCCUCCCACCACUCGCUUGCCCUUUUUGUACUGUUCUUGUUGCUGCUGCUAUUAUAAUGACUUCUGAUGUUGCUUGCCAACUUUGCAGAUUCCAUAUGGUAGUGUAUGGGU